This 271-nucleotide long non-coding RNA is filed under the name Monodelphis domestica (gray short-tailed opossum). Its description in RNAcentral is "lncRNA (ENSMODG00000047341.1)". Lineage: Eukaryota; Metazoa; Chordata; Mammalia; Didelphimorphia; Didelphidae. The record is from RNAcentral.
UUAUGGUUUGCAACCAGUUUUAGCCAAUCUGUUUGUGUUGCCACUCCAACUCAGGGAAAGCGUUUCAAAUUUAUGUGGAAUAUCCCAUCUACAAUAUGACCAACUUGUACAUGAAGACAAACAAGCAUAGUUUACCUUCACAAUAAUCCUAGGAGAGUUUGAAUGGACUGCCUUAAUAUUGGAUGAGUUCCCCCUUUGUGGAGGUCUUCAAGCACAAGAUGGACAACCAUUUGUCAGGCAUGUUAUAAUGGAGAUUCUUGUUCAGCCAUGA